GGGGGAUAUUGCACAAUGGAGGAAACUCUGAUGCAGCAACGCCGCGUGAGGGAAGAAGGUCUUCGGAUUGUAAACCUUUGUCCUUGGUGACGAAACAAAUGACGGUAGCCAAGGAGGAAGCUCCGGCUAACUACGUGCCAGCAGCCGCGGUAAUACGUAGGGAGCAAGCGUUGUCCGGAUUUACUGGGUGUAAAGGGUGCGUAGGCGGCUCUGCAAGUCAGGCGUGAAAGGCGGAGGCUUAACCUCCGAGCUGCGUUUGAAACUGUGGGGCUUGAGUGAAGUAGAGGUAGGCGGAAUUCCCGGUGUAGCGGUGAAAUGCGUAGAGAUCGGGAGGAACACCAGUGGCGAAGGCGGCCUGCUGGGCUUUAACUGACGCUGAAGCACGAAAGCAUGGGUAGCAAAC
RNAcentral lists this ribosomal RNA (403 nucleotides) under uncultured bacterium. RNAcentral's name for it is "bacterial SSU rRNA". It matches the Rfam family "Bacterial small subunit ribosomal RNA", at positions 356 to 773 of the family's 1533-position model. The record is from RNAcentral.